AUGCCCGCAGAUCCACCAAGUGCAGCUGGUGCGUGUGGAAACCAUCGUCCCCAUCCCGGAGGGGCAGCUCCUGGGCACAGAGGGUCAGAGCCUCAGCAUGACAAAGCCACCACCAGCCCCUGCCCACAGGCCUUGCAUACAGGGGCGGGGAGCCCUGCCAGUCCCUGCAGGCAGAACGGGGGGACCAGAGACUGGGGGACCACCCCAGAGCCCUCAGCAGGACCCACACCAGGAAUGCUGUGGCUGGAACAAGGCAUCCCUUCGCCCAGGUGCUUGGGAGAUCAGAGGCCCGGCAGGUCUGUCCCCUCUCCAGCCAAAUCCCUCCCUCAUUGCACCCAAAGACCAAGGUCCCCUUGUCCCAGGGGGAUGCCAUCAGGCUGCCAUGCCCUAUGUUUGCGGCGGUACCUCCUCAGCCGUGCGGUUGCUGUGCCGCUGGUAGGUGAGGGAGGACAGGCUCAGCAGAUGGGUUUUCUUCACCAGGGUGUCGAGCCGGUGGUCAGCAUUCUCAUCGCAAGUGGAGGCCAUGAGGUGCACGGUGACCUGGCUCAGGUCGCUCACCAUCUGCGUGAUGCUCCAUUCCGAAAUCAGGCGUCGCAUCACCGUGCCAGCUGGGGGACAGGGAGAGGAGUCAGCCGGGGUCCUGCCCUGCCUGGAAGCGCUGCCGGCAGGGCCCCCACCUUGCGGGAUGAGCCGCUGGGUACCACGAGUGAAGAUGUGCCCCUGGCAGCACUCCACCUGGAUCCCCCGCUGCUGGGCAAAGGAGGCCCAGUAAUGCACCUGCGAGGGAGCAGAGAGCAGGGGCUGAGUGCCCAGCACAGGCAGAGCGGGGAGGUAACACCAGAUCCCACCCCCAGGACUUGCCUGCAGCCGGGGGAAGAGCGCGGUAUAAGACAACUGCUUGUAAUGCUGCCCCAGCUUCUUCUUACUGGGUUUCAUGUUGUUGAAGAGCUUCCCGCGGCAGAUGGGGCGCGUCACGCUGGUCCAUGUGGCCCAAAAGUUCUGCAUCCAGCGGAGGGUGCUGCUGUAGAGCAGGAUCCGGGGCUGGGAGUGCUCUGGGAAUACACCCGCCGUCAGCCAACGCUGCGGGGCAGGGACACGGCAGCAUCCAACCCAGGACCGAUAAGGAUGGCUAAAACCAGCACGCCCUGCCCCGUCCCCAAGGGAUCCCUGGGAUGCUGCCACCCACCCUCACUGGACCGUGUCAGGUCCAUCCGGAUGGAGAGGUUGAGGUUCUCGGAGCGGAAGGCGUGGUAG
This 1254-nucleotide long non-coding RNA is filed under the name Strix occidentalis caurina (northern spotted owl). RNAcentral's name for it is "lncRNA (ENSSOCG00000003362.1)". Lineage: Eukaryota; Metazoa; Chordata; Aves; Strigiformes; Strigidae. The record is from RNAcentral.